Molecule: transfer RNA, 74 nt
Filed under: Thermoplasmata archaeon
Lineage: Archaea; Methanobacteriati; Thermoplasmatota; Thermoplasmata
Description: tRNA-Ala
Rfam family: tRNA
About the family: Transfer RNA (tRNA) molecules are approximately 80 nucleotides in length. Their secondary structure includes four short double-helical elements and three loops (D, anti-codon, and T loops).
Source: RNAcentral
GGGCCGGUAGAUCAGGCUGGUAGAUCGCCACCUUGGCAUGGUGGAGGCCUCGGGUUCGAAUCCCGACCGGUCCA